RNAcentral lists this ribosomal RNA (253 nucleotides) under uncultured bacterium. RNAcentral's name for it is "partial 16S ribosomal RNA". It matches the Rfam family "Bacterial small subunit ribosomal RNA", at positions 524 to 776 of the family's 1533-position model. The record is from RNAcentral.
UACAGAGGUCUCAAGCGUUGUUCGGAUUCAUUGGGCGUAAAGGGCGCGUAGGCGGCGUGACAAGUCACUUGUGAAAUCUCCGGGCUUAACUCGGAACGGUCAAGUGAUACUGUCGUGCUAGAGUACAGAAGGGGCAACUGGAAUUCUCGGUGUAGCGGUGAAAUGCGUAGAUAUCGAUAGGAACACCUGCGGCGAAGGCGGGUUGCUGGGCUGAUACUGACGCUGAGGCGCGAAAGCCAGGGGAGCGAACGGG